This 439-nucleotide ribosomal RNA is filed under the name uncultured bacterium. RNAcentral describes it as "partial 16S ribosomal RNA". It matches the Rfam family "Bacterial small subunit ribosomal RNA", at positions 339 to 795 of the family's 1533-position model. The record is from RNAcentral.
CUACGGGUUGCAGCAGUGGGGAAUAUUGCACAAUGGGCGAAAGCCUGAUGCAGCAACGCCGCGUGGAGGAUGAAGCAUUUCGGUGUGUAAACUCCUUUUAUAAGAGAAGAUUAUGACGGUAUCUUAUGAAUAAGCACCGGCUAACUCCGUGCCAGCAGCCGCGGUAAUACGGAGGGUGCAAGCGUUACUCGGAAUCACUGGGCGUAAAGAACGCGUAGGCGGAUUUUUAAGUCUUGAGUGAAAUCCUAUGGCUCAACCAUAGAACUGCUUGAGAAACUGGAAAUCUAGAAUCUGGAAGAGGUAGAUGGAAUUAGUAGUGUAGGGGUAAAAUCCGUAGAUAUUACUAGGAAUACCAAAAGCGAAGGCAAUCUACUGGGACAGUAUUGACGCUGUGGCGUGAAAGCGUGGGGAGCAGACAGGAUUAGAUACCCGAGUAGUC